GGUACCGCAGCAUGUCCCCGAUUGCAUACAACUUGCACUCUACCCUUGGUCCUAAGCAGUGAUCGCAUGUGCUAGGAGAGCAACAGAUCAGCAUACCUAGCUGGCACCCAUUCCAUGCAUUUCGAGGUGGGAGAUACUCUGGAAGGCAUCGAUAGCGUAAUGGGCAGGGAUGAAGGACUUUUGGCCAGCAAACAAUACAAGAUUCAUCAGCUGAGGAGAAGGGCCAGUAGUUCUGCUCCUGACACUCUCCAUUGCUCCAGGGCUGAUCACCAGAGAUGACAAUCUGUCACAAGACAAAAAUAAAACUGUUAUAGAGAAAUUUUAAAAAGUCUGAGCUAUCACAGGAGAAUAAUCAGCAGAGUUUGGGUUUGAAAGUUGACUUCUUUAUUACUUCUCAUAACACAAGAACUAGGGGUCACCGAAUGAAUAGGCAGCAAGUUUAAAACAAACAAAAG
Non-coding RNA from Chelonoidis abingdonii (Abingdon island giant tortoise), 455 nucleotides. NCBI's taxonomy places the organism in Eukaryota, Metazoa, Chordata, Testudines, Testudinidae. The record is from RefSeq and is a predicted model, not a curated record.